Drosophila suzukii is the source of this 725-nucleotide non-coding RNA. NCBI's taxonomy places the organism in Eukaryota, Metazoa, Arthropoda, Insecta, Diptera, Drosophilidae. The record is from RefSeq and is a predicted model, not a curated record.
AAAAAAGGAAUAUCGCGAGACGCCAUCGUCUCGACAUUUUAUUUUCUUUUUAACUUGGGCGCCAUAAUGUUACGGAAUUGUCAGGGCGGAGUACCCCCAAUGUCCCAACAGUUCCCCAACAUUGAUAUCGAUAACUCACGUCUCACGAUACUAACGAUAACACACAUCUCUAACAACAAAAAGUGCCCCGAGGGACGUCUUGGAGGCACCACCCAUACGACCGCUUCAUCUCCAACUCAACACAUUUCGGGUUUUACAGACAAUUAAUUAACACGCCUUCAAGACCAAAACUUUGCCGCCGUCUUCAAUUUUACGCGGUCAAAGCGGAGAACACGUUCCCCACUGGAAAAGGCUAAAGGCGCGGCGAAUAAAAUUUUGUACCAUUCAUGCAUUGGUAGAGCUCGUAUAACACAACAAGGGAUGCGAUGCGCGAAUGUCGGGUCACCUAAUCCUGAGGAGCUCCAGGGGAAAAGCAGGGACAGGCUGUUAACUAUUUAUUUAUUUAUUUAUUUCGAGAACGUACAAUAUUUUGAGAACCUACAAUAACGACCUUUCUUACAGGCUAAAGACGAGAACAACUAAGGCUCUCGGAUCUAAUUCCGGAUAAAUUUACAUUAUAAAGCCAUGGAUUUAACAUAUAAUUAACGAUUUCAAAUUUCAGCUGGGACAUAGACUUCUCCGUCGGAGGCCAGUUAUAAUUACUAAAUUUAAUUCGAAGUUCUUAA